RNAcentral lists this ribosomal RNA (280 nucleotides) under uncultured bacterium. Its description in RNAcentral is "partial 16S ribosomal RNA". It matches the Rfam family "Bacterial small subunit ribosomal RNA", at positions 55 to 339 of the family's 1533-position model. The record is from RNAcentral.
AUGCAAGUCGAACGCGGAGAUACUUUCGGGUAUUGAAGCGUGGCGGACGGGUGAGUAACACGUAGGAAAUCUGCCCUAAAGUGGGGGAUAAAGUCGGGAAGCUGAUGGUAAUACCCCAUAACUCUUAGGUUGAAAUACUUAAGAUUAAAGUUUUAGCGCUUUAGGAUGAGCCUGCGCCUGAUUAGGUUGUUGGUAGGGUAACGGCCUACCAAGCCGACGAUCAGUAGCUGGUCUGAGAGGAUGAUCAGCCACAAUGGGACUGAGACACGGCCCAUACUCC